Long non-coding RNA from Xenopus tropicalis (tropical clawed frog), 484 nucleotides. RefSeq lists it as uncharacterized. Lineage: Eukaryota; Metazoa; Chordata; Amphibia; Anura; Pipidae. The record is from RefSeq and is a predicted model, not a curated record. The transcript has 5 exons.
AUGCGCAGGAUACUUCCCUAUAUAAACCAGCGAGUAAAGGGAAUGCGGUCUUUUACAUUCGGGUGGGCAGAGAGGAAGUGGAGCGUGCCAAGGAUAGGGGCACAGGGUGUGCUUGUCACUUGCUCUUCUGCAAUCAAGUGAAUGUGCCCUACUCGGUCAUGGAGCACCUCUGUGCCUGCGGCAGGGUUUGCCAGAGCUUGUGUGGGUGACUGAACCCUGACUGGAGAAACUGUAUAACUAAGGGAGAUGGCAAUCUCGUGAUUCUCGGCUGAAGACUACAUUAUGCCUGUGUGGAGUCGGCAUACACGUCUAUGGUUAAGUAACAGCAAUUACCUGGACAUGGGAGUGGUGCCACAGAAACAAUACAAGGGAUGCAAUAUGGCUGUACUCCUGUACAAGGCAGAAGGCUGAAGUUGGACAGUGGUGGUUACAAUUAUAAAAAUGGUUGCAAUUUGUAAAUAAAAUUUUAUAUAUUUUUUUUAAA